Molecule: ribosomal RNA, 500 nt
Filed under: uncultured bacterium
Lineage: Bacteria
Description: partial 16S ribosomal RNA
Rfam family: Bacterial small subunit ribosomal RNA
Source: RNAcentral
GAUUAACGCUAGCGGAAGGCAUAAUACAUGCAGGUCGAACGGGAUAGAACAUAGCAAUAGGUUCUUGAGAGUGGCGCACGGGUGCGUAACACGUAUGCAACCUACCUUUAACUGGGGGAUAGCCUCUCGAAAGAGAGAUUAAUACCCCAUAACAUAUUGAAUAAGCAUUUAUAUGAUAUUAAAGAUUUAUCGGUUAAAGAUGGGCAUGCGGCUGAUUAGGUAGUGGGUGAGGUAACGGCUCACCAAGCCAACGAUCAGUAGGGGGUCUAAGGGGAUGUCCCCCCACACUGGUACUGCGACACGGACCAGACUCCUACGGGAGGCAGCAGUAGGGAAUAUUGGACAAUGGGGGCAACCCUGAUCCAGCCAUUCCGCGUGCAGGAAUAAGGCCCUAUGGGUCGUAAACUGCUUUUGUAUGGGAAAAAAUCAUCUUACGUGUAGGAUGUUGAUGGUACCAUGAGAAUAAGGAUCGGCUAACUUCGUGCCAGCAGCCGCGGUAA